UACGUAGGGUCCGAGCGUUAAUCGGAAUUACUGGGCGUAAAGCGUGCGCAGGCGGUUUUGUAAGCCAGAUGUGAAAUCCCCGGGCUCAACCUGGGAACUGCAUUUGGGACUGCAAGGCUAGAGUACGGCAGAGGGGGGUAGAAUUCCUGGUGUAGCAGUGAAAUGCGUAGAUAUCGAGAGGAACACCUGCGGCGAAGGCGGGUUGCUGGGCCGACACUGACGCUGAUGCGCGAAAGCCAGGGGAGCGAACGGG
RNAcentral lists this ribosomal RNA (253 nucleotides) under uncultured bacterium. RNAcentral's name for it is "partial 16S ribosomal RNA". It matches the Rfam family "Bacterial small subunit ribosomal RNA", at positions 524 to 776 of the family's 1533-position model. The record is from RNAcentral.